CAGCCAGACUCCUACGGGAGGCAGCAGUGGGGAAUAUUGCACAAUGGGGGGAACCCUGAUGCAGCGACGCCGCGUGGGUGAAGGAGUACUUCGGUACGGAAAGCCCUAUCAGCAGGAAAGAAAAUGACGGUACCUGACUAAGAAGCCCCGGCUAACUACGUGCCAGCAGCCGCGGUAAUACGUAGGGGGCAAGCGUUAUCCGGAUUUACUGGGCGUAAAGGGAGCGUAGACGGCAGUGCAAGUCCGGAGUGAAAGCCCGGGGCUCAACCCUGGUCCUGCUCUUGAAACUGUAAAGCUAGAGUGCGGGAGGGGCAGGCGGAAUUCCUGGUGUAGCGGUGAAAUGCGUAGAUAUCAGGAGGAACACCGGCGGCGAAGGCGGCCUGCUGGACCGUAACUGACGUUGAGGCUCGAAAGCGUGGGGAGCAAACAGGAUUAGAUACCCGUGUAC
This 448-nucleotide ribosomal RNA is filed under the name uncultured bacterium. RNAcentral's name for it is "partial 16S ribosomal RNA". It matches the Rfam family "Bacterial small subunit ribosomal RNA", at positions 328 to 793 of the family's 1533-position model. The record is from RNAcentral.